UCAAGCAAUUCUCUCAAAGUUACUUUCUAAACACUUUUAUUAUCAAUCUAUAAUCAGUAUUUCUCUUGAUCAUCACUGUGUUACCAAAUCGAUACUUAAAACGUAUCACACUGAUAUCCCGAGAUAAAGCAAAAUAUUAUCUUCAAGUUUUUUCAUUCGCUUUCACUUUAUAAAUACCAAAACAUCAGAAGCAUAUAUAUUUAGAGUAUUCAUUUCAACCACUAUGUAGGCUAACAUGUAACCAUUCUAUUGCUUAAGAGAGAUUUUUUUUCAUGGUAGAUGACACUGGGAAACAUAAACUUACUAGUCAGAUGACAUUAUAAAGAGUGCGUUCGAUUACUUUACUAAGUAAAUGCAGUUUUUAAACUGUUACGUGACUGACAAGUAAUUGGUAAAGGAUCAAUGAAGUGAUGAUUCUUAUGAUUACUUAAAAAGAACGCAAAAAUGGUUUUAGUCAAAUGGUAGUGCUCAAGACACUGUUCCCAGUUACAAGGAAGAGAUAAGUGAGAACUGAGCUCCGAUUCUAUCUGAGCUCGGAGUAAUAUGUUCGUUGCUGCUCUCUUCUGUCGAUCUUCCCAUUCUUCUUCUCCGAUCAUCCAGAGAAACAUUCUGCGUAGAUUUCUAUAUCGUCUCCAUGUUCGAUGCCUUCAUCUUCUUCACUCCCUUAGUGAGAAAGAAACAAAAAAGGAAAAUUUUGAUGAGUAUAUUUUUGAGUGAUGUCGAAAACAGAGUAAGGGUCACGCGCCAUGAGGGAGAAGCGCGUUGGAGAUUCUUUGAGUAGAAAAAGAAGAGAAUGUGGAACUGUAAAACUGUUAGGACACAGAGGCUCGCACUUUGUCUCAAGUUGUUAGUUACGGUACACACGCGCGGCGCGGGAUAGGUAUGAUGUAUUUGCAUUCUUGUUCUAGUGAUCAAUGAAAUCUGGACGAGAUCUCAGGGAUAUAGGAAACAAACUCCGUUAACAAAUUCAGUGUGUCAUUUACUUUAUGCUCUAUAUCAGUAUAUUGUUCGUUGGUUAUAUCACAAAGAGAAAUGUUAAUUAAAAUUAAAAACAUGUGUAUUUAUGUUACAUGCUUAUCUUGGUUGUGCUCUGUUUUUAAAUC
Molecule: long non-coding RNA, 1103 nt
Organism: Brassica rapa (field mustard)
Lineage: Eukaryota; Viridiplantae; Streptophyta; Magnoliopsida; Brassicales; Brassicaceae
Source: RefSeq, a predicted model, not a curated record